GAUGUGGCUGCAACAUCUGUCACCCCAUUGAUUGCCAGGGUUGAUUUGGCUGAUCUGGCUGGCUAGGCGGGUGUCCCCUUUCAU
Molecule: unclassified non-coding RNA, 84 nt
Organism: Ochotona princeps (American pika)
Lineage: Eukaryota; Metazoa; Chordata; Mammalia; Lagomorpha; Ochotonidae
Gene: 7SK
Rfam family: 7SK RNA
About the family: 7SK was discovered as an abundant small nuclear RNA in the mid-70s but a possible function has only recently been suggested. Two independent studies have found that 7SK RNA binds the CDK9/cyclin T complex (known as elongation factor P-TEFb). P-TEFb activates transcription by phosphorylating the C-terminal domain of RNA polymerase II.
Source: Ensembl